UUUUGGACAAUGGGGGCAACCCUGAUCCAGCCAUUCCGCGUGAGUGAAGAAGGCCUUCGGGUUGUAAAGCUCUUUCGCAAGGGAAGAAAACUUAUGGUCGAAUAAAUCAUGAGGUUGACGGUACCUUGAUAAGAAGCACCGGCUAACUACGUGCCAGCAGCCGCGGUAAUACGUAGGGUGCGAGCGUUAAUCGGAAUUACUGGGCGUAAAGCGUGCGCAGGCGGUUUUGUAAGUCGGAUGUGAAAUCCCCGGGCUCAACCUGGAACUGCGUUCGAACUGCAAGGCUAGAGUGUGUCAAGGGGGGAGAUUCCACGUGAGCAGUAAAUGCGAGAAAUGUGAGAAUCCAAUGGCGAGGAGCCCCCUGGGAAACUGCGUAUGCAA
This 381-nucleotide ribosomal RNA is filed under the name uncultured bacterium. RNAcentral describes it as "bacterial SSU rRNA". It matches the Rfam family "Bacterial small subunit ribosomal RNA", at positions 362 to 748 of the family's 1533-position model. The record is from RNAcentral.